UUUAUGGAGAGUUUGAUCCUGGCUCAGGAUGAACGCUGGCGGCGUGCCUAAUACAUGCAAGUCGAGCGAACGGACGAGAAGCUUGCUUCUCUGAUGUUAGCGGCGGACGGGUGAGUAACACGUGGAUAACCUACCUAUAAGACUGGGAUAACUUCGGGAAACCGGAGCUAAUACCGGAUAAUAUUUUGAACCGCAUGGUUCAAAAGUGAAAGACGGUCUUGCUGUCACUUAUAGAUGGAUCCGCGCUGCAUUAGCUAGUUGGUAAGGUAACGGCUUACCAAGGCAACGAUGCAUAGCCGACCUGAGAGGGUGAUCGGCCACACUGGAACUGAGACACGGUCCAGACUCCUACGGGAGGCAGCAGUAGGGAAUCUUCCGCAAUGGGCGAAAGCCUGACGGAGCAACGCCGCGUGAGUGAUGAAGGUCUUCGGAUCGUAAAACUCUGUUAUUAGGGAAGAACAUAUGUGUAAGUAACUGUGCACAUCUUGACGGUACCUAAUCAGAAAGCCACGGCUAACUACGUGCCAGCAGCCGCGGUAAUACGUAGGUGGCAAGCGUUAUCCGGAAUUAUUGGGCGUAAAGCGCGCGUAGGCGGUUUUUUAAGUCUGAUGUGAAAGCCCACGGCUCAACCGUGGAGGGUC
RNAcentral lists this ribosomal RNA (641 nucleotides) under Staphylococcus aureus. RNAcentral's name for it is "bacterial SSU rRNA". It matches the Rfam family "Bacterial small subunit ribosomal RNA", at positions 1 to 624 of the family's 1533-position model. The record is from RNAcentral. Lineage: Bacteria; Bacillati; Bacillota; Bacilli; Caryophanales; Staphylococcaceae.